AUGCAUAUGAUGGUUGUACUCUACGCAUAACAUAUGUUUUGUGCAAUUGCAUAUUGUAUCUUGUGUAGUGUUGUUUGUACAUUACUAUUUUAAAGCCACAUGUCUCCUUUAUAUCCACAUUGUUCUCAACUUUACCUUUUACUUUCUCUCUCUCUCACAAUAUACCACGCCUGAUCCUCAAAGAUUCAUUCAAAAUCACACUUCUGAAUCACCUAUUCAACGACCGAAUUUCUUUGUGUUCGAAGUGAUCAGCACACGGCGACAUCGAUAGUUACAGUAAGAUUUUAAUUGGGUGUUUAGGACUACGAUUCAGAGCAACAUGUAGCAUCACCAUAGAUCGAGAUGGUAAGUAUUAUCUGCCAUUGGACUCAUUGUUACGUGCUUCGUUUUAUUGUCUGAUGCUUAGCAAUGAAGAGAUGUUAAGAGGAGAGGAAUAAUGGGUCGGAUUUUACCCGGAACUGGUGGCAUGGUGGGCUUGGGCCUCCGUACGUGCAGGUUGGGCUGCCGCGGUCUACCUUUCGGCCAAUGGGUGCCGUGUACGAAGUACCCGGCGAUUCUUAUGUUGGACGUUCAAAAAAAAAGAAUUUAUCAUUGAAUAUCCCAUCGAUUUGAUGAUUGCAUUCCACAAGUUCAUGGUGGUGAAGUUUUAGUUUUGGUUACUAAGGCGAACUUUUGGAUAACGGAUCAAGUCAAAACAGUUCUGGCGUUGGUAAGGCUGCCAUAUGUCGUCACCAAUGUUUCGGAUCCUCCUAUUGUGCAUACAGCCACUGACAACAUUCAGCAGCAACACAUGGGCGCUCCUCCACCAAAAACACCCAACCCCAAGGUUAACCAACAAAAACGCCAUCUAGAUGAAUCGCCAGAUAACAGCAACACUUCAAAGAAGGGACGCAUCGGGCGCGGGGAAUGAUAUGGACGUCGAACACCUUUUUGUACAGUUGCCAAGUAGAAAAAACGCAGCUGUAGGUAGUAGUUAAGCAAGCCAUGUCCUCUAGGAAUAUGUCUUUUGUGCAACUUAUGUAACUAACAUAGCUUAGUGUUAGUAACCUAAGUUGCAACUAUAACAUAUGUACGAACCUGGACACAAGCUCUUGGUUGUACCUAAUCUAUCUAACCUAACGGAUGUAAAUCACAACUUGCUUAAUGUAAAUAUAAGUCUAGCCCCCCGCUGCAUCGCGACGGGUUACUCUUCUAGUUA
Molecule: long non-coding RNA, 1198 nt
Organism: Helianthus annuus (common sunflower)
Lineage: Eukaryota; Viridiplantae; Streptophyta; Magnoliopsida; Asterales; Asteraceae
Exons: 4
Source: RefSeq, a predicted model, not a curated record